GUGGGGAAUAUUGGACAAUGGGCGAAAGCCUGAUCCAGCCAUGCCGCGUGUGUGAAGAAGGUCUUCGGAUUGUAAAGCACUUUAAGUUGGGAGGAAGGGCAGUAAGUUAAUACCUUGCUGUUUUGACGUUACCGACAGAAUAAGCACCGGCUAACUUCGUGCCAGCAGCCGCGGUAAUACGAAGGGUGCAAGCGUUAAUCGGAAUUACUGGGCGUAAAGCGCGCGUAGGUGGUUUUGUAAGUUGGAGGUGAAAUGCCCGAGCUCAACCUAGGAACUGCCUCCAAAACUGCAUGACUAGAGUACGGUAGAGGGUAGUGGAAUUUCCUGUGUAGCGGUGAAAUGCGUAGAUAUAGGAAGGAACACCAGUGGCGAAGGCGACUACCUGGACUGAUACUGACACUGAGGUGCGAAAGCGUGGGGAGCAAACAGGAUUAGAAACCCUUGUAGUCC
This 450-nucleotide ribosomal RNA is filed under the name uncultured bacterium. RNAcentral describes it as "partial 16S ribosomal RNA". It matches the Rfam family "Bacterial small subunit ribosomal RNA", at positions 354 to 796 of the family's 1533-position model. The record is from RNAcentral.